GUCAACUGAAUUUCAAAGCCUUUGUGUUUUUCUGGAUGUUCUGUGGUAACGUCUCUAUUGGUUUAUUGAUGGGAGGAAGAAGACUGAAUUCAACACAGUACUGGGACUGAACACUACAGAGCCCAUCUCCGAUCCUGCCCCUGAACUGCAGUGGGAAUGCCCCCCUCCUGUCAAUGAGUGGUUUGAUUUCAACGGUAUUGCAGCAGCAGUCCAAGACUGAACGACCCUACAAACUAUGAGGGAAUCCCCGGUGGUAUAGCCCCCCC
Long non-coding RNA from Coregonus clupeaformis (lake whitefish), 266 nucleotides. RefSeq lists it as uncharacterized. Lineage: Eukaryota; Metazoa; Chordata; Actinopteri; Salmoniformes; Salmonidae. The record is from RefSeq and is a predicted model, not a curated record. The transcript has 3 exons.